This 526-nucleotide ribosomal RNA is filed under the name Cellulomonas pakistanensis. Its description in RNAcentral is "bacterial SSU rRNA". It matches the Rfam family "Bacterial small subunit ribosomal RNA", at positions 380 to 916 of the family's 1533-position model. Lineage: Bacteria; Bacillati; Actinomycetota; Actinomycetes; Micrococcales; Cellulomonadaceae. The record is from RNAcentral.
AGCCUGAUGCAGCGACGCCGCGUGAGGGAUGAAGGCCUUCGGGUUGUAAACCUCUUUCAGCAGGGAAGAAGCGCAAGUGACGGUACCUGCAGAAGAAGCGCCGGCUAACUACGUGCCAGCAGCCGCGGUAAUACGUAGGGCGCAAGCGUUGUCCGGAAUUAUUGGGCGUAAAGAGCUCGUAGGCGGUCUGUCGCGUCUGCUGUGAAAACUCGAGGCUCAACCUCGGGCUUGCAGUGGGUACGGGCAGACUAGAGUGCGGUAGGGGAGACUGGAAUUCCUGGUGUAGCGGUGGAAUGCGCAGAUAUCAGGAGGAACACCGAUGGCGAAGGCAGGUCUCUGGGCCGCAACUGACGCUGAGGAGCGAAAGCAUGGGGAGCGAACAGGAUUAGAUACCCUGGUAGUCCAUGCCGUAAACGUUGGGCACUAGGUGUGGGGCUCAUUCCACGAGUUCCGUGCCGCAGCAAACGCAUUAAGUGCCCCGCCUGGGGAGUACGGCCGCAAGGCUAAAACUCAAAGGAAUUGACGG